AUACUGCUGAGGAGUCCCAUAAUAGGACGAAACGGCCGUCCAGUGU
Schistosoma rodhaini is the source of this 46-nucleotide non-coding RNA. Lineage: Eukaryota; Metazoa; Platyhelminthes; Trematoda; Strigeidida; Schistosomatidae. The record is from Rfam.